This 484-nucleotide ribosomal RNA is filed under the name uncultured bacterium. RNAcentral's name for it is "partial 16S ribosomal RNA". It matches the Rfam family "Bacterial small subunit ribosomal RNA", at positions 28 to 523 of the family's 1533-position model. The record is from RNAcentral.
GAUGAACGCUGGCGGCGUGCUUAACACAUGCAAGUCGAACGGUGAAGCAGGAGCUUGCUCUUGUGGAUCAGUGGCGAACGGGUGAGUAACACGUGAGCAACCUGCCCCUGACUCUGGGAUAAGCGCUGGAAACGGCGUCUAAUACUGGAUAUGUGAUGUGACCGCAUGGUCUGCAUCUGGAAAGAAUCUCGGUUGGGGAGGGGCUCGCGGCCUAUCAGCUUGUUGGUGAGGUAAUGGCUCACCAAGGCGUCGACGGGUAGCCGGUCUGAGAGGGUGACCGGCCACACUGGGACUGAGACACGGCCCAGACUCCUACGGGAGGCAGCAGUGGGGAAUAUUGCACAAUGGGCGGAAGCCUGAUGCAGCAACGCCGCGUGAGGGAUGACGGCCUUCGGGUUGUAAACCUCUUUUAGCAGGGAAGAAGCGAAAGUGACGGUACCUGCAGAAAAAGCACCGGCUAACUACGUGCCAGCAGCCGCAGUAA